AGAUUCUUCUUGCCCUUCUGUUUCUUUUAGCAGAGAUUAAAUUGCAUAAACACUUUUGGAUAUAUGUUACAGUCCUCUUUGAACAACAUCAAUAGGACAGGGUGGAUCCUUAAUUCAGAGGUCUAAAAAAAAAAACACACUCACUCACACUCUCUCUCUCUCUCUCUCUUGUAUUUGACAGGUAAAUAAAUUGUUUGUAUUGUUGCAGGUACAUAUUAUAAUGGAGUCUUGGGAGAUUCAUUAUGGGUCAUUUCACAAAGGAACAAGUAAAAAUAGUGAAAUUGUAUUUUUAAAAUGGCAGGUCCGUUAUGACGUAAGGAGAAAAUGUGGUUUAUUCAGGAUGGGACUACUGCCCAUACAGCCAGGACCACAAUGAACCUCCUCCCACCAUCAUUGGUCGGCGAUCAGAUUUAAUAAAAAAAAAAAAAAGAAAUCCCGGAUUAAUUGGCCACCAAAUUUGCCCGACCUUUUAACUCCCGAUUACUUCCUGAGGGGAUAUCUUGACGAGCCGGUGUAUGUGAACAAACCGCAUACACUUGCGCACCCUAAGGAGAAUAUCCAUGCAG
This is a non-coding RNA of Pelobates cultripes (western spadefoot toad), 566 nucleotides long. Lineage: Eukaryota; Metazoa; Chordata; Amphibia; Anura; Pelobatidae. The record is from the annotation of a GenBank genome assembly.